Stomoxys calcitrans (stable fly) is the source of this 86-nucleotide non-coding RNA. NCBI's taxonomy places the organism in Eukaryota, Metazoa, Arthropoda, Insecta, Diptera, Muscidae. The record is from Rfam.
UAUUUUGAUAUGAUGAACAACGUUUUUACCUUGGGACACCUAUGAAAUGUUCUAUGAUUAGUGUAAAGAUAUUUAAACUGAUAUAA